RNAcentral lists this ribosomal RNA (254 nucleotides) under uncultured bacterium. RNAcentral's name for it is "partial 16S ribosomal RNA". It matches the Rfam family "Bacterial small subunit ribosomal RNA", at positions 524 to 776 of the family's 1533-position model. The record is from RNAcentral.
UACGUAGGGGCCUAGCGUUGUCCGGAAUUAUUGGGCGUAAAGAGCUCGUAGGCGGUGUGUCGCGUCGGCCGUGAAAACCUGCAGCUUAACUGUGGGCUUGCGGUCGAUACGGGCAUCACUGGAGUUCGGCAGGGGAGACUGGAAUUCCUGGUGUAGCGGUGAAAUGCGCAGAUAUCAGGAGGAACUCCGGUGGCGAAGGCGGGUCUCUGGGCCGAUACUGACGCUGAGGAGCGAAAGCGUGGGGAGCGAACAGG